RNAcentral lists this non-coding RNA (179 nucleotides) under Azomonas agilis. RNAcentral describes it as "6S / SsrS RNA". It matches the Rfam family "6S / SsrS RNA". Rfam says of the family: E. coli 6S RNA was the first non coding RNA to be sequenced, but its function was unknown until recently. It consists of 184 nucleotides that fold into an extended hairpin structure with a large single-stranded internal bulge. The record is from Rfam by way of RNAcentral. Lineage: Bacteria; Pseudomonadati; Pseudomonadota; Gammaproteobacteria; Pseudomonadales; Pseudomonadaceae.
AACGCCCUGGCCUGUUUGCCAGCGGGUGAUGUCCCUCUCCCGAUACGCAAACAAACGGGGGCUACCAGUGGAGUUGGUGUGCAUGUCCGCCAGACGGAAAGCCUAAAAACUCCCUGUAGUCACCACCUUGAACUUUCGGGUUCAAGGGCCUACGCCUGCAGCGGCAGGCCGGGGAGUUU